CUCACGCUUUUCUUUGGAAAUGCAGUUGCUGCGUGAAACACAACGUGAGAAUGGGAAUCUGACAUAUGAGUAACCCGGCCGAGAGGCACCUCUUGGAAAUGACACUGGGCCUUGGCUAGAAUUACGCACAGGCCCUGGGAGGGCUGCGGCUCGUAGGCCCGUAGGGGGCAGGGUGAGGGCGGAGGUCCUGGCGCCCCCAGGCCUGACCCGCCCGCACCGCUGGGCUAUUUUUAGCGUCCACUAAACUUAGCCGACUCCACCCUCUUGAAUAACCCACAUCUUAAAAUGCUAUUUUUCUCCAACAGGUCAAAAGAAUUCUGCGAGUUAGAGCGCAGAUUAAGUUGCUAGCGACGGGCAUUGAAGGUUUUAGAACCGAGAAAAUGAGCCGGUGGCGGGGAGCGCGUCCUCAGCGGCCAGGCCCGGCACGGGGCUCGGGCACUCGGGGACACACGGUGGUCGUCGCUGUGUCUCAGCAGGACCCUGUGCGCUGGAGAGCUUGGGGCCGCGAGUCGCGCAGCAAGGAGGCUUCUGGCUUCUCUAUUUUUAGCCUCUGAACGUUUUCCAAAAUAAUUACCAAAAGGAAAUACACACGCACACAUGGACCUAACACACAAAACGUCCUUCUGCGGGAAGCCAGCACUAGGAAAGAAAAAAAAAAAAAUCCGAAGUGAAAUUAUGACACAGGGUUUUGUAACCCGCGGUGGCGCGCUUCUGAAACCCGAGCCCGGCAGCGGCUUCUUAUCUGCACCGCGUUCCAGGAAGCAGCCGGCGUUUCGGCCGCGCAAGGGCAGCCGCCGCACGUAGGCAGCGUCCCCCAGCCCGGGACCCGCAGGAAUGCGAGGGGCAAGACAGAUCGCCGGAGGAGCAGGGGUCAGAAGUCAGUGUUUAACCACUCACUGGCUUUCGGUGAAGCCAGAAUGUUAGCAGCGAGUCGCGGUCGGGGGCCUUGGGGUUGCACACGCUUGCUCCAAGCACCGAGGCUCAGCUGAGCACAUGCACAACCCUCUCGAUGCAGCGGAAAGUCGUGUGGCUUAGGGCCGCACCCCGAAUUUCGCCGCACCCGCCGCUGUGCCAUUUACAACCCCCCACCCCGCCACUGCUGUCACGUAGCAAUCAAGAGUAAAGGUUAUCACAAAGUCUGUUCUUCGAAGGAAAGAGUUGGAAUCAAGGACUUCGGACGGGAGGAAGUUGGUAAGUUACCGCUUCCUCCCUCCUGUUUUCCUCUCCUUGUUUAACUUCUCACAAGAACAUGUGGCAGCGCUGCAGGUUAACUCAUCUUACAUAACUUCGGGGCCGUGUCAACUGUUCAGAAGAAAGAAAAACAAGUAUUCUCUUCUGUAGAAGUUGUAUUUAGAAACAGGCUCUGUUGUUUAGGACAAGUUCACUUGUGUUGCCUGAUCACUUGCAGCAGAAAAUCUUAGAACUGCUCCUCAAGCAACAAAAAGUAGGGGCUCCCAUUUCCAUCUUUCUUUCUUUUCUUUUUCUUUCUCUCUCUCUCCUUCCCUCCCUCCCUCCUUCCUCUCUCUCUCUUUCUUUCUUUCUGAUGGAGGCUUGCUCUGUCGCCCAGCUGCAGUGCAGUAGCACGAUCUCAGCUCACUGCAACCUCCGCCUCCCGGGUUCAAGCGAUUCCCCUGCCUUAGCCUCCCGAGUAGCUGGGACUACAGGUGCGCACCACCACGCCCAGCUAAUUUUUUGUAUGUUAGUAGAGAUGGGGUUUCACUAUGUUGGCCAGGAUGGUCUCGAUCUCCUAACUGCGUGAUCCGCCUGCCUCGGCCUCCCAAAGUGCUGGGAUUACAGGUGUGAGCCACUGUGCCCAGCCGGGCUCCCAUUUUUCUGAAUAUGAACUUCAAAAUAGUUUGAGGAGCCCAACAUGAGAGUAACUGGACAAUUGUCUUCCUCUGAGAAAACAAAAUGACAAACAACCAACAUGAAUCAAAUGAUGACUUGGUAUUUCAUUAAACACAACUCUUACAGCACCAGGAAGACAGUAGCCCAUUUUGUGCCAAGCGUAUUUACUCAGUUGGUGGCAAUAGGGGUUUGGAGAAUCUUGCAUUGUGGUUUGCUGGGGUCCACAAGCCACACAUCGGGUGUCUGGCCAUCCUGCAUGUCCAAAGGUGAACAAAGAAAUGCACUAAUAACCUAGAGACACAGGGACAAGAACAAGCCCAGUAAUACCCAUGUAGCCGUCUGCUAGAAUUGAAAGCCAGGUAUGGUGGGCUUCUACCCCACCCCAAUCACGACGUCCUAAUGAGGGCUACCAACUACCAAUUACCACACCUCCCCCCUGGCCUAGGGCCCUCAUCCUCCCCAAACAUCUCUGAGCAGAGUGGCAAUUAAGAGCACCCUGCUCUGUGGCUGGGAGCCUGGGAGCUGCCAGGGGCCAUAUCCUCCUACCACAGGGGAAGCUGGAUAGCAGAGGAGAUGGGGAGAUGGGAGAAGAAAGACUGAGUUCCCAGAGUCCUGAGACAGCAGUCCAGUGGCUCCCUGGCUGGGCACAGGGAGUCCCUUUUCCUGACUCGUUCAGUUCAAGCUGGGUCUGUUACUUGCCUCCAGAAGAGUUUUGAUACAGGUGUUGGCACCUUCUCAAUGCCCUGUCUCCAUGGUUGACCCACUUCCCUGACAGUGCCUUGAGCUCCUCCCCUGAUCUGGGCUGGUCCAGGCCCUUGCUGGGGGACGCCACGUGCUAGGGUAGACCAGAAGUCCCUUCUUGGAAGCCCUACUUCCUGUGGUUCUUAGAUGCCAUGUGGCUGACAUCUGGAGAGAGGGUGGACUAUGGACUCCCUCCCCACAUGAAAUCUAUGAAAGGCCAAAUAAGGUUUAAGAGGUCUGUUCUCAGCCCCUGACAACCUCCAGGACUCUCUAAGACUGCACGAACAAAAAUGAAGUAGUGCAUGGACCAAUGAGGUGAUAAGACCCCAGCGGAAAAAUUUUCUCCAAUAUUCCUCUAGGAAAGAGUCCUAGCAGCAAGAACAUUGGUCACGAGAUUGGCCAAGGGAUCAAUCAACUCUCUAGUCCCUUCCCGUGAUGUGAAAUGCGGUGUGGGCUGGAGCCCUUGUAUGCUUUGCCCCCAGUAGGCGGUUGCCUCCCUCACUGGGCACUGAGGCCAUAGGCCGCUUUGUUCUGCAGAGCCACGCCUGGCCUCUAGAGGAAUGGAUGUGACCUAGAGAUCUGGACUCAGAGCUGGGCAGAACCCUGGGGUGAUGCUUACUGAGCAGGAUGCCCAGGUUUGUGACUGUGUCUAUGAGAGGCCUUAAGGCAUGUAGGGGUCAUCUGGGGGAAAGGACGGCUGACUGAGUCAAGGUUGGCCUGGGUGGCUGCUUUGUUUUUGGGUCCAUGACAGCAGCCCUCUCUUCUCCUGAAGAGAUCUCCCUCCUCCAAUCAUAGUACCCCACCACCCUGGCCACAGGGAGGCCAUAUGAUCUGAGCUAGGCCUAUCAGAGGCCUUUCCUGGGAGUUUCUGAGUUCAAAGUGAGUGAAGAGCAUGACCCCUCUUUCCUGCUGGGGGGCCAUGCAGUUGGGAGCUGUCAUCAGGUGGAGCUGGUCUACAGGGACAGGCCCAAAGGAUGGAGCCACAUACCAGAGACUACAAACACAUGGUGGGGAGUGGAGUGUCCUGGCAGCCCUGUGACUCCGGCUCCCCUGUCUUUCCACAGUUUGGGGCUGAGAGCCAAUGAAGUUUCCUUUCGUCUAAGCUACUUUGGUUGACUUUCUGCCAUCACAAUACAGUCUUCGUGCACCCAGUAUUUCAGACUGCACUCAACUGCUAAGAUUCAAACUUCAACAAAAUGCAGAAUUUUAGUUGUUUACCUUUUUAGUUACAUGGACUCAAAAACAAGCAUCACCAUAACUUUCCACUGUGUGUGACAAUAUAAGAGUCAUAUCUUUGUGGCUCCAAAAAUGUUUAAAAAAGCAACUAGUAUAUUCAAUAUUUAGCUCAUAAGAGCUAAGCACUGUAAAAUACGUCUGACAUCUUCAACAUCAAACUAGAAUAAAGGUAAAAUUAAAAUAGGGUAGAAGAGUGUUCAUGCAUGAUCCAAUCUCACAUGAAACCCUAGUCCUAAAAAAAAGGCAACUCCCAAAUAGGUGUCUUGAUUUCACCCAGUGGCUUUAAAAUAGUUCUUAAUCAUGUAUGCAUUAAGAAGCCAAAACUCAUUGUUAUUUCUGAAGCACAUUAUUUUGAAAUUCUGUUUAAAUCUUCCAUAUUUGUAUGAUGAAAGUUAUGUCACAAAGUUAAUCAUUCCCAGGAUGCUUGCAGUAGGGGUAAUGAAAAACUUCUUGUGCAAGCGGCCAUUAAUCAGCAGUGUAACAUUGCAUAACGUGCUCCAAAGCACGUGUCAUGGGAUCAGAGUACACAGCUGCAUAAUGCAGGCCAGUGUCUGUGCCUCCUGCUGACCUUUUCCAAUGCAGAACUCGAACCAUGUGAUGCAUGCUUCUUGCCAAGUCACUUAUUGCCAAUGAUUAAGUUGGAUGAUAUGGAGAAACAUAAAUUUCUUUCUUUCUUUUUUUUUUUUGGAGUUCUAAAAGGAAGACUCUUUGAAGUCCCUGGCUUCUGGCACAGUGUUGUUGCUGGCUUGGUUAUAUUACUCUUGAUCAUUAUAAAAACUCUCCAUUAAAACUGAUAUCAAAUAUUUUGCUCAAGUGGUUCCUGGCAUUUGCAUUAGAAACAAUAGACAUACCCCCACAAGAAGAGUAUUUUAUAUGUAAGCAACGCAAAAAGUCAAAGACGCUAGAAGCCAAAGACAUACAUAUAUCAAAUCCCAAUCCAUCACGUUUGAUGUUCUUGAGCAAUACUGUUAGCGAGAAACUAUUACUUAAUCUUGCUAGUAUUAUCCAAAGAGAACACUUGCGAAAUACUUAAGACAAACAUGCUGUAAUUAUUACAUGAAUAAAGAGCUUGUGUAGCAUAAACUGUUUUUGUAACAUCAACACAAAUUCUGUUGGAGCAGGCUAAUAAUUAGCCGUGGUAACAACAAUGGCCACUGUGUUUGAGAAGCUCUGAGAGGUAACAGUGCUGCCGGAGGUGAGAUGACUCACGCGUUAUCUUCUACCCUCAAAGUAGCCUUGGUGUAGAGGGACUGUUUUCAAUAAUAUCUUAACCUAGAAAGUCUUCUGAAAUUUCACCAAGGGCUAAUUAUACAUUCUAGUACCAACUAGAAUAUAUCUGGUUCCCUAACAUAUAUUGGAAAUUAAAUUUCAUCUUCAUUUUACUUUUUUUUUUUAAGGAAAGGACUCUUCGAUUUGAUUACUAGCAAACUCUUACUGUACAUGAAAUCCUGUUCAAGGUCUGAAAGCUCAAAUUAAUAAAUGAUUUUGUCAUCAUAAUCUAAAUGUCUAACAGUGGAACAUGAAUUUAACAGUGUGGAAGAAAAGUUGUCCUAAAACAUAAGACAUCUAUAUGUGCUGGGAUUUCAAUACUUUUUAUUUUUACUACUUGAAUGCUGCAUUUAUGCAUUGCUUUGCUUUGGUUUAUGGCUGUUAGUUUAGCAACUAAGGGCUGAAUGAACAGAUCCCUCACAGAUCAUCCAACCUCAUGACCAGGCAAGGGGAGCCUCAGCUGGAGCAGCCUAUUUCUG
This 5573-nucleotide long non-coding RNA is filed under the name Homo sapiens (human). Its description in RNAcentral is "long non-coding RNA NONHSAT219817.1". The record is from RNAcentral. Lineage: Eukaryota; Metazoa; Chordata; Mammalia; Primates; Hominidae.